GGGGGUUUAGCUCAGCUGGUAGAGCACCUGCUUUGCAAGCAGGGGGUCAGGAGUUCGAAUCUCCUAACCUCCACCA
Molecule: transfer RNA, 76 nt
Filed under: Candidatus Gastranaerophilales bacterium HUM_16
Lineage: Bacteria; Bacillati; Candidatus Melainabacteria; Candidatus Gastranaerophilales
Description: tRNA-Ala
Rfam family: tRNA
About the family: Transfer RNA (tRNA) molecules are approximately 80 nucleotides in length. Their secondary structure includes four short double-helical elements and three loops (D, anti-codon, and T loops).
Source: RNAcentral